UGAAUAGUUGAACUAUAUGUUUUUAAAGGAAAGUUACCUCCGGCCUCCGCAUCAUGAUGAUGCAUGCAGCCACUUUAUUAACAAAGUUGUUCAAAAUAAGUGCAAUCCUAAAGGGUCUAACAAGAUCUCACGAAAAUAAGGAAAAUGACAUGCCACCACUAGCAGGAUAAAGAUAGACUACGAUGACUAAACACGUAGCCUAUUAGUAUGCCGCCAUUCAUAUCAAAUGAAUUUAUCCGGUGCUAUCAUCUCUCACUGGCUGCACCGAAUAACCAUAAUCUUCUUGGACUCCUCAGGCGUGAGUAACGACCACAUACGGAUUCAAGCAGUAGCUCUGUAGAUGACCUAGAAAAAAUUGUUGAAUUUCUUCUUGUUAAAUAUCAUAUCAUUUCUCCAAUUCAAUAUAGCCCAAAGCAUGUCACAAAUUCCUAUUCGAAUGUAUCUAGUUGUGAUGAGGUCUACUGCAUUGAGCCACGUCCUAAAUAACGUGUUCAUACUCGUUGGAAGAGUAAUGUUAAAAGCUAUAUGAAUAGUAUGUCAUAGAAGUCUUGCCAAAGGGCACUCGAGAAAGGUGUUUAAUAGUCUCAUUAUGAUCACAAAAGCAGCAUUUAGUAUUACCUACCCAUAUUCGUUUAACCAAGUCAUCCUUCGUAAGUAUCACUCCUUUAUGGACAAACCACAUGAAAAUCUUAAUCUUGAGUGCUACUUUAAUUUUCCAAAUGUGUGGAGAAAGUAGGUAUUAUUCUGACAUUGAUAAGGUCCACUUACAUUGAUUUCACGGAGGACCUAC
This 790-nucleotide long non-coding RNA is filed under the name Hordeum vulgare. RNAcentral describes it as "long non-coding RNA (HVUL_LNC003785)". Lineage: Eukaryota; Viridiplantae; Streptophyta; Magnoliopsida; Poales; Poaceae. The record is from RNAcentral.